GACGAACGCUGGCGGCGUGCUUAACACAUGCAAGUCGAACGGUGAAGCGCCUUCCUUUUUGGUGGGUGUGGAUGAGUGGCGAACGGGUGAGUAACACGUGAGUAACCUGCCCCCUUCUUCUGGAUAACCGCAUGAAAGUGUGGCUAAUACGGGAUAUUCUGGGUCUGUCGCAUGAUGGGUCUGGGAAAGAUAUUGUUUCGGUGGGGGAUGGGCUGGCGGCCUAUCAGCUUGUUGGUGGGGUGAUGGCCUACCAAGGCGGUGACGUGUAGGCGGCCUGGGGGGGUGGACGGCCACACUGGGAGUGAGACACGGCCGAGACUCCUACGGGAGGCAGCAGUGGGGAAUAGUGCACAAUGGGCGCAAGCCUGAUGCAGCGGGGCCGCGGGAGGGAUGGAGGCCUGCGGGUUGUGAACCUCUUUCGCCAGUGAAGCAGGCCUGCCUCGUUUGUGGGUGGGUUGACGGUAGCUGGAUAAGAAGCGCCGGCUAACUACGUG
Molecule: ribosomal RNA, 494 nt
Filed under: uncultured bacterium
Lineage: Bacteria
Description: partial 16S ribosomal RNA
Rfam family: Bacterial small subunit ribosomal RNA
Source: RNAcentral